UCACACAGUCUAAUAAACGCAGUAACGAACGUUUGAGUCUACUUUCCAUCCGCUAACAUGGUCCGUCGUGAGCCAGCGCAUUUCUUUGGAUGAUGUGUCAAGACAAUUUUUAACGUUCUGGUAUAGAAGGACAUUUCGUGCAGGGAAAACGGAUUUAUAUUUUGUCUGGAUUGUGAAAACAGCGGCAGGAAUAUGGAGUCAAUUUUAAAGCAAAAGCGUAUCAUUAAGGGUAAGCAGUUUGGUUUGCUGUUAUGGGUCUGAAAAUAAAAAUCAGCUCUCUUGAUAUCCACCGGCUGUUGCAUUUACCCCAAUGGCUGGUCAAGUCGAGAAGUGAAGGAUGUCUGUGGACCAGAUUCUGACGCCUAUAAGCUUGGCUCGUGUCAGAUAUCUUGGUCCCUCUAUCUUCUAUGUACAGGAGUGGGAAUGCUGUUGGUGUGUGUGAUUCUUUCCUUGAAAGCUUCGAGAGUGAAACCGAACUCUUUCCGCAUUUGACACGACCACCACACGUCCAUCACUCUCCAUCACCGCAACCAGCAUCAACAUCAGCGUCACCAUCGUCGGCACCGUCCGCGUCAGCAGAGCUUUGAGAUGCAGAUUCAACAUCUGGACGAGGAAGAUAUCGCCACCAUCACGCGCAGCUGACAAAAGCUUUCCCCUAACGAAUCUAGUAAUCCCCUGAAAUCCUUCACUCUGAAGAGAACCAGGAAGAAAACUAGCGACGAUAACUCCCUCUGGAUGGCAUCCCUGUAACAGGCCGAGAGCUGCCAUCAUGUAUGUGACGUAAUUUCAAAAGAUGGACGUUGUCCGAAUUAUCAAAUGGGUAUUGCUUAAUUACACGGCAUUGUGUCUUCAGAGAUAUGUGGGCUGGAAUUUCAUCCAUCGACAAACAUCUCCGAAGUAGCUGUUGUCCCAGAUGCCUUGAAUCAUCGCAAAUGAUUGAACUUUAUGUUAUUCAGUCAUUAUUCAAAUAAUUAAACUGUAGAAAGGUUCGACAAGACAAUAUUUUAAAACUUUAAAACAGAGCUGUUGUGAGGUAAAUACUUCAUCCGUAAACGUUU
Molecule: unclassified non-coding RNA, 1058 nt
Organism: Stegodyphus dumicola
Lineage: Eukaryota; Metazoa; Arthropoda; Arachnida; Araneae; Eresidae
Source: RefSeq, a predicted model, not a curated record